Humulus lupulus (European hop) is the source of this 1211-nucleotide RNA transcript. It is a transcript of the gene named probable beta-1,3-galactosyltransferase 3, with no coding region annotated. The transcript has 11 exons. NCBI's taxonomy places the organism in Eukaryota, Viridiplantae, Streptophyta, Magnoliopsida, Rosales, Cannabaceae. The record is from RefSeq and is a predicted model, not a curated record.
AUUUUCCUCCAAAGAAUUUAUUAUAAAGUUGUCUGACAAUGAUAGAGAAACUGGAAGCUCUAGUACCAGGAGUCAUUUGCAUAAUACAAGGACUUAUAAGAUUACUGGGAUAUCGACAGAGCCACUGAACAAAUUAAUGUUUACUCUUGAUGAUACAGAUUUCAGUUGCUGCUUACUUUCAAGACAAGUACAAAAUCAAACUCAGAUAUGUGACAUGGCCUGCUCUGCAAGCAGGAAAUGCAGCAAAGCCUAUUUACUUACCCAUGGAGGUUUGUACAAUUGUUGAGGGGCAAAGAUACUCUAAGAAACUCAAUGAAAGGCAAGUAACCAAUCUAUUGAGGGCAACCUGUCAAAGACCAAACGACAGGGAAGAAAGCAUUUGGCGAAUUGUUAAGCAGAACAAAUACAGUGAUCAGGAACUUGUCCAGGAUUUUGGAAUUAGUGUUGCAAACAAUUUGACAAUGGUUGAUGCUCGAGUUUUGCCUCCACCAGUGCUUUUCUACAGAGGUGCUGGGAGGGAGGCUACUGAGCAUCCUCGAUUUGGGCAAUGGAAUAUGUCCAAUAAAAAAAUGAUCAAUGGAGGCCAAGUUGAGUUUUGGACAUGUGUGAACUUCUCGCGUAUCAAUUCAGAUAUUCAUGAUCGCUUUUGUUCAGAAUUGGUCAGUACUUGGCUCAAUAGGGGAAUGGCCUUCCAAACUAGACCAGUAAUUCCCUGCAACGCUUGGCCAGCUAACCAAAUUGAGAGGGCUUUGAGAUCUAUUCAUGAGCAAUGCAAGAAGAUACUUAUCAACAAACAACUACAGUUGUUAAUAGUUAUCUUGCCUGAUUCUGGUGGUUCAUAUGGACCUUGAUCAAGACUCCAAAUGCAGCUCACGGAUAGGGCUAUGGACGGGGUUGGAGGGCUCGGGCUUGCGGAGGAUCGUGGAUGGCUCGGUCUCACGGAGAGGUCAUGGGUCAAAACUUGAAAAGCAGGAAAACCUCGCUGAACCCAUUAUUUUCAUGUUUCUGUGCCACAUCAGGGGGUAUUCUAGACAGAGCUGUUGAAGCAGAGGAUAAGAAACAUGGAGAUAUUCUAAGACUGGACCAUUUCAGCUCAAGAUCUGUCCCAUUUUUCAGAUAUGAUGAUCCCAGGAGAGGAUUCAGUUCCUGUUCUUUUGACUCUUGCAGUGAAAUAUCUCUCAGAUUGUCCUGCUGCCCUACAACAGUUACUG